AUUGAACGCUGGCGGCAUGCUUUACACAUGCAAGUCGGACGGCAGCACAGAGAAGCUUGCUUCUUGGGUGGCGAGUGGCGAACGGGUGAGUAACAUAUCGGAACGUACCGAGCAGUGGGGGAUAACUAAUCGAAAGAUUAGCUAAUACCGCAUAUCUUCUGAGGAAGAAAGCAGGGGACCAUUUGGCCUUGCGCUGUUUGAGCGGCCGAUAUCUGAUUAGCUAGUUGGUGGGGUAAAGGCCUACCAAGGCGACGAUCAGUAGCGGGUCUGAGAGGAUGAUCCGCCACACUGGGACUGAGACACGGCCCAGACUCCUACGGGAGGCAGCAGUGGGGAAUUUUGGACAAUGGGCGCAAGCCUGAUCCAGCCAUGCCGCGUGUCUGAAGAAGGCCUUCGGGUUGUAAAGGACUUUUGUCAGGGAAGAAAAGGGCGGGGUUAAUACCCCUGUCUGAUGACGGUACCUGAAGAAUAAGCACCGGCUAACUACGUGCCAGCAGCCGCGGUAAUACGUAGGGUGCGAGCGUUAAUCGGAAUUACUGGGCGUAAAGCGGGCGCAGACGGUUACUUAAGCAGGAUGUGAAAUCCCCGGGCUCAACCUGGGAACUGCGUUCUGAACUGGGUGACUAGAGUGUGUCAGAGGGAGGUAGAAUUCCACGUGUAGCAGUGAAAUGCGUAGAGAUGUGGAGGAAUACCGAUGGCGAAGGCAGCCUCCUGGGAUAACACUGACGUUCAUGCCCGAAAGCGUGGGUAGCAAACAGG
Molecule: ribosomal RNA, 759 nt
Filed under: uncultured Neisseria sp.
Lineage: Bacteria; Pseudomonadati; Pseudomonadota; Betaproteobacteria; Neisseriales; Neisseriaceae
Description: bacterial SSU rRNA
Rfam family: Bacterial small subunit ribosomal RNA
Source: RNAcentral